This is a long non-coding RNA of Salvelinus sp. IW2-2015, 545 nucleotides long. RefSeq lists it as uncharacterized. The record is from RefSeq and is a predicted model, not a curated record. Lineage: Eukaryota; Metazoa; Chordata; Actinopteri; Salmoniformes; Salmonidae.
ACAAACUGUUUUUUUUAUUUAUGUUUAAAGCUGCCCAGAGAGGAUGUGGUUUUUAUGCGCAGAGGCAACUCAUUAGAUCAGAGUGUGCUGCCCAUCAAAAGAAAGUCAUCUCUCUCAAAGUUCACAAUAAGUGGUGAAAACAAUCAGCACAAAAGAACAUUCAAAUAUUAUCAUUCUAGUUGUAGUCUAGCGUCAAAAUGAUUAUGAAGUUAGUGAUGAGAGGUGACAGAGGUUAAAUGUGCAUUGAACUGUGCAAAUCCAGGAACUCCCUACUGUGCGUCCCUCAGCACUUUGUGAAAUGUUCAUGUAUUCAAGACAUUUCUCCUUCUGCCUACUGUCAGUCCAAACGUUCAGGGUGUGUGGCAUUGUCAUUUCCGGCUCCAGCUCAUCGGCGGGCGGUCCAAGGCUGUACAGUCAUCAGUGGUGAACACCAGCUCCUAAACAUAGAGAUAUGAGGCGUAGUCUGAAUGACAGGGAGCCUGGAUCAAGAGCUAGUCUGUCUGUGAAUGCUAGUCGUCGCUCUCUUACCCCGUGACACCUCUGGG